CCUACGGGAGGCAGCAGGGAGGAAUAGUGGGCAAUGGGCGCGAGCCUGAACCAGCCAAGUAGCGUGAAGGAUGACUGCCCUACGGGUUGUAAACUUCUGUUAUAAAGGAAUAAAGUGAGGCACGUGUGCCUGUUUGUAUGUACGUUAUGAAUAAGGAUCGGCUAACUCCGUGCCAGCAGCCGCGGUAAUACGGAGGAUCCGAGCGUUAUCCGGAUUUAUUGGGUUUAAAGGGAGCGUAGAGGGGUUGUUAAGGCAGUGGUGAAAGUUUGCGGCUCAACCGUAAAAUUGCAAUUGAUACUGGCAGUCUUGCGUACAGUUGCGGUCGGCGGACUUCUUGUUGUAGCGG
This 346-nucleotide ribosomal RNA is filed under the name uncultured bacterium. Its description in RNAcentral is "partial 16S ribosomal RNA". It matches the Rfam family "Bacterial small subunit ribosomal RNA", at positions 338 to 681 of the family's 1533-position model. The record is from RNAcentral.